This 443-nucleotide ribosomal RNA is filed under the name uncultured bacterium. RNAcentral describes it as "bacterial SSU rRNA". It matches the Rfam family "Bacterial small subunit ribosomal RNA", at positions 339 to 797 of the family's 1533-position model. The record is from RNAcentral.
AUACGGGAGGCAGCAGUGGGGAAUAUUGCGCAAUGGGGGAAACCCUGACGCAGCAACGCCGCGUGAAGGAAGAAGGCCUUCGGGUUGUAAACUUCUUUAGUCGGGGACGAAUAAAUGACGGUACCCGAAGAAUAAGCCACGGCUAACUACGUGCCAGCAGCCGCGGUAAUACGUAGGUGGCGAGCGUUGUCCGGAAUUACUGGGUGUAAAGGGCGUGUAGGCGGGUUAUCAAGUCAGAUGUGAAAUCCCAGGGCUCAACCCUGGAGCUGCAUCUGAAACUGAUGAUCUUGAGUACUGGAGAGGGAAGCGGAAUUCCUAGUGUAGCGGUGAAAUGCGUAGAUAUUAGGAGGAACACCAGUGGCGAAGGCGGCUUUCUGGACAGUAACUGACGCUGAGGCGCGAAAGCGUGGGGAGCAAACAGGAUUAGAUACCCCUGUAGUCCC